UGUGGUCUCUUAGAUGAUGGAGAGA
This 25-nucleotide unclassified non-coding RNA is filed under the name Mus musculus (house mouse). RNAcentral's name for it is "oocyte_clustered_small_RNA4459". The record is from RNAcentral. Lineage: Eukaryota; Metazoa; Chordata; Mammalia; Rodentia; Muridae.